CUACAGCCAAAUCUCAGAUCCUCUUUUUCUCAUCUGGAGUGCAACAAUUGGAAAUAAUAAUAUGCAAAUCUGCCCAGGACAGGUCAAAUUGUAGGAGGUAGAAGUUUAAUUCACAUUGAAGGGCAACAUGAGCAGUGCUGCUUUACUUUCCUUGUCAUUGUGUGAUGGGCACCAGGUCUCCCCACUACACCCGAAAUUCCUGGAGAAAUCACAGGUCUACUGGGUGUAAGAGAGGAAUCAGAUCCAAUGGUGUAAAGAGUAAAGAAUGAGCAGGAGAGGUGCAAGAAGAGAAAAAAACUCAAGAUUCCAGUGAGAGAAGAGAAGCUGAAACUCCAACCACUACUUCACUUCUUCAGCUGAGAGCCUGAAAAGCAGAUCUCCUAAGAUUGGGUCUCUCUGGAGAUCAACUGUUUCCCAGUGAACCCCUGAAUAUCUCUCACUCAAUUUAAGACAUUGUGAACUGGGACUUUGAAGAAAGCCAACUACAGAGUAAUCCUCUCUCCAAAAAUUUAUCCCCAAUCUCUCUCCCUAACUUGUCCUGGACUCUAUAACUCAAGCCAGUUAGCUCAGGAGCAGGGAUCAAAAUAGCAACUGACUGGAAGAAGGGUCAAGGCUGAAAGUUUGAUCUCUGAAAGUUUGGGGGGGUCAGUCUGCCAGUCAAUAGGGCUUCCUCUUUACCCACUUUCCUCAACUUACACCCCUACCUCUUCCUUUCUUGUGUGAAUCCAAAUAAACUGUCUACUACUUAGAAUCA
This 754-nucleotide long non-coding RNA is filed under the name Monodelphis domestica (gray short-tailed opossum). RNAcentral describes it as "lncRNA (ENSMODG00000037341.1)". Lineage: Eukaryota; Metazoa; Chordata; Mammalia; Didelphimorphia; Didelphidae. The record is from RNAcentral.